UGCCUUUGAAAGAUACUGUGUAGCUAUAGAACAUGUAAAUGUUCAUGUGAAGUAUGACAAUUUUGGUGAUAAAAUUUUGAUGACAUUCUAGUACUGGGUUAUUACAUUAGAAAAUUGUGUUGAAUUCUCUUGUCUUCCCCCUUGAUAACACCGGAUUCUUGUCUGAAAGCUGCUUCAUUUUCUGUACCAAAGUGCUUUGUAUUUAGGACUAGCCCAGCUUUUGUCAAAAAAAGGCAUCUGAAUUUCAGUAGUAUUUCUAUUCAUUUGUUUAAUAACAAGAGCUCAAAAGAUGAGCACAGAACAUUCCUUUGCAUCAAGGCAAUGCCAUUGGGUUGCAGAGACAGCUUUUAGUUUAUACACCUACCUUGAACACGCUGCAGUUUACCCCCUUUUUUUCAAAAGGGAAAUGAUCCAAAUAUUUACAGCAGAAGCUAAAAUGGAAUUGUCUUAUUUAGGUUCAAAGCCAGCAAUGAAGACACAAUUUCUGCAGUGAGGAGCUGGGUGUUGACUUGGUAACACUGGCAGAGAAAGGAUUAACACCUGAGACUGAUGAACACUGGAUGAAAGUUCCUGUGUGCUUCAGCUGUGGCUUCCACCAAGCAGGUUUUCAGUGCCAGACAGGACAUCUUUUCCCUAAGGGGAAAAUGCAGAAGAGAGCUAACUGGGAGAUGGGACGCGACAGCUAUCACAGCUCCACCACAUCACCCAGCAGAAACCACGGCAGGGGAGGUGAUUGCACAGCUUAUCCAUGGCUGGAAGGGGUCACCAGCCAUAAUUCCCAGCACCCAUCACAUCCCUCACAGUCACAGUUGAGAGGAGUUGGAGCUGGUGUAAAGCAAGAGGAAAGGGAUGUGGGCUGUCAAAGGUGGGUUUAACCAGCAGCAGUCACUGCACUUAUUGUAUCUUUUUGUACAUUGAAGGCUAAAAGUGACAAUGUCAGGUAUUUGAAAGUGUCCUAGUUUCGUGUGAAAUGGAUUUAUUGGAGAUUCAUAACAAUGAGAACAAAACAUUCAUCACUGAUGCACUCAGUUGUAUCCCAGUGAAUAGAAUUUGCUGAAGCUAAGACAGAUCUCAUGGCAGCUCAGAAGAGAGAAAUCAUGUGCUAGGAAUAGAGAACAAUUUAAAUUACACAAUACUCACCAAAUCUUCCUUUGUAUCUCAUUAAUGGAAUAAGAAUGGGAAAAAAAAUGAUGGAGAAACAGAGGUGAAGAAUUAAAUAAUGGUUUUGGGAAUCACUUUCUGGGCAAGCAACUUUCACCAACUUUCUGACAGCUAAAAAUAAGUUUAGAAAUAAAGCCAUAUGGAUAACUUGGUCUUCUGAUUGU
This 1325-nucleotide long non-coding RNA is filed under the name Parus major (Great Tit). Its description in RNAcentral is "lncRNA (ENSPMJG00000012200.1)". The record is from RNAcentral. Lineage: Eukaryota; Metazoa; Chordata; Aves; Passeriformes; Paridae.